GCUAGCGGCAGGCUUAAUACAUGCAAGUCGAACGGUAAGGUCUCUUCGGAGAUACACGAGUGGCGCACGGGUGAGUAACACGUACGCAACCUACCCCGAACUGGAGCAUAGCCCCGGGAAACUGGGAUUAAUACUCCAUAGUCUUCAAUGAUCGCAUGAGAAAUGAAGUAAAGUUCCGACGGUUCGGGAUGGGCGUGG
This 198-nucleotide ribosomal RNA is filed under the name uncultured bacterium. Its description in RNAcentral is "partial 16S ribosomal RNA". It matches the Rfam family "Bacterial small subunit ribosomal RNA", at positions 35 to 234 of the family's 1533-position model. The record is from RNAcentral.